RNAcentral lists this transfer RNA (77 nucleotides) under bacterium. Its description in RNAcentral is "tRNA-Leu". The record is from RNAcentral.
GCCGGCAGGCAGGCGCACACGCUUCAGAAGCGUGUAUCUGUAUGGAUGUGUGAGUUCGACUCUCACCGUCGGCACCA